RNAcentral lists this ribosomal RNA (468 nucleotides) under uncultured bacterium. RNAcentral's name for it is "partial 16S ribosomal RNA". It matches the Rfam family "Bacterial small subunit ribosomal RNA", at positions 28 to 507 of the family's 1533-position model. The record is from RNAcentral.
GACGAACGCUGGCGGCGUGCUUAACACAUGCAAGUCGAACGGAAAGGCCCUGCUUUUGUGGGGUGCUCGAGUGGCGAACGGGUGAGUAACACGUGAGUAACCUGCCCUUGACUUUGGGAUAACUUCAGGAAACUGGGGCUAAUACCGGAUAGGAGCUCCUGCUGCAUGGUGGGGGUUGGAAAGUUUCGGCGGUUGGGGAUGGACUCGCGGCUUAUCCGCUUGUUGGUGGGGUAGUGGCUUACCAAGGCUUUGACGGGUAGCCGGCCUGAGAGGGUGAACGGCCACAUUGGGACUGAGAUACGGACCAGAAUCCUACGGGAGGCAGCAGUGGGGAAUAUUGCACAAUGGGCGGAAGCCUGAUGCAGCAACGCCGCGUGCGGGAUGACGGCCUUCGGGUGGUAAACCGCUUUCGCCUGAGACGAAGCGUGAGUGACGGUAAUGGGUAAAGAAGCACCGGCUAACUACGUG